This is a long non-coding RNA of Lycium barbarum (goji berry), 484 nucleotides long. RefSeq lists it as uncharacterized. Lineage: Eukaryota; Viridiplantae; Streptophyta; Magnoliopsida; Solanales; Solanaceae. The record is from RefSeq and is a predicted model, not a curated record. The transcript is spliced from 2 exons.
AAGACCUGGGGAAAGAAGAGAGGGCCACCUCAAACUCAGCCAGCUCAGCCUGCUAAACGAGCAAAGACUGAAAAAGGAAAGAAUAGACGUCCCAAACGUGUCAAUGUUGCUAAAGUGAAGUGCUAUAAUUGUGACAAGAAGGGUCACUAUGCUAAGGAUUGCCCUGAGCCUCCUAGAAAGACUCGGGAGCAACGGACCACAUAGCUUGGGAGCACAAUGCUUUUGUUGAAUUUCGGCGAGUUUCACGUGGAGCAAAGUGGAUAUAUGUGGGAAACAACAAUAAAUUUGCUGUUGAAGGGAUCGGUACAUGCAAGUUAGUCCUGCGUGGCGGUCGAGACCUAAUUCUACAUGAUGUCCUCUAUGCACCAACAAUUCGUCGGAAUGUUAUUUCAGUCUCUGUUUUGCUUAGGCUAGGAUUUAGCUUGUUUUUUCAUGACACUUAUCUCAAGUUGACUUAUGAUUCAACAUUAUUUGGUUUUGGUCA